CGAAAUGCGAUAAGUAAUGNGAAUUGCAGAAUUCAGUGAAUCAUCGAAUCUUUGAACGCACCUUGCG
This 67-nucleotide ribosomal RNA is filed under the name uncultured Tricholomataceae. RNAcentral's name for it is "partial 5.8S ribosomal RNA". It matches the Rfam family "5.8S ribosomal RNA", at positions 49 to 115 of the family's 154-position model. From Rfam's summary of the family: 5.8S ribosomal RNA (5.8S rRNA) is a component of the large subunit of the eukaryotic ribosome. Lineage: Eukaryota; Fungi; Basidiomycota; Agaricomycetes; Agaricales; Tricholomataceae. The record is from RNAcentral.